AACGAACGCUGGCGGCAGGCUUAACACAUGCAAGUCGAACGCCACCUUCGGGUGGGGUGGCAGACGGGUGAGUAACGCGGGGGAACGUACCCUUCGGUUUGGAAUAUGCUCGGGAAACUGAGAGCAAUACCAAAUAAGCACUAUGGGGGAAAGAUUUAUUGCCGAAAGAUCGGCCCGCGUUAGAUUAGGUAGUUGGUGGGGUAAUGGCCUACCAAGCCUACGAUCUAAAGAUGGGCUGAGAGGAUGAUCAUGUACAUUCGGACUGAGACACGGCCCAAACUCCUACGGGAGGCAGCAGUGGGGAAUAUUGGACAAUGGGCGCAAGCCUGAUCCAGCCAUGCCGCGUGAAUGAUGAAGGCCUUAGGGUUGUAAAAUUCUUUCAACGGUGACGAUAAUGACGGUAACCGUAGAAGAAGCCCCGGCUAACUUCGUGCCAGCCGCCGCGGUAA
RNAcentral lists this ribosomal RNA (449 nucleotides) under uncultured bacterium. RNAcentral's name for it is "partial 16S ribosomal RNA". It matches the Rfam family "Bacterial small subunit ribosomal RNA", at positions 29 to 523 of the family's 1533-position model. The record is from RNAcentral.